Molecule: ribosomal RNA, 855 nt
Filed under: uncultured Lactobacillus sp.
Lineage: Bacteria; Bacillati; Bacillota; Bacilli; Lactobacillales; Lactobacillaceae
Description: bacterial SSU rRNA
Rfam family: Bacterial small subunit ribosomal RNA
Source: RNAcentral
GUGCAGAAGAGGACAGUGGAACUCCAUGUGUAGCGGUGGAAUGCGUAGAUAUAUGGAAGAACACCAGUGGCGAAGGCGGCUGUGUAGUCUGUAACUGACGCUGAGGCUGGAAAGCAUGGGUAGCGAACAGGAUUAGAUACCCUGGUAGUCCAUGCCGUAAACGAUGAGUGCUAAGUGUUGGAGGGUUUCCCCCUUCAGUGCUGCAGCUAACGCAUUAAGCACUCCGCCUGGGGAGUACGACCGCAAGGUUGAAACUCAAAGGAAUUGACGGGGGCCCGCACAAGCGGUGGAGCAUGUGGUUUAAUUCGAAGCUACGCGAAGAACCUUACCAGGUCUUGACAUCUUCUGCCAAUCUUAGAGAUAAGACGUUCCCUUCGGGGACAGAAUGACAGGUGGUGCAUGGUUGUCGUCAGCUCGUGUCGUGAGAUGUUGGGUUAAGUCCCGCAACGAGCGCAACCCUUAUUAUCAGUUGCCAGCAUUCAGUUGGGCACUCUGGUGAGACUGCCGGUGACAAACCGGAGGAAGGUGGGGAUGACGUCAAAUCAUCAUGCCCCUUAUGACCUGGGCUACACACGUGCUACAAUGGACGGUACAACGAGUCGCGAAGUCGUGAGGCUAAGCUAAUCUCUUAAAGCCGUUCUCAGUUCGGAUUGUAGGCUGCAACUCGCCUACAUGAAGUUGGAAUCGCUAGUAAUCGCGGAUCAGCAUGCCGCGGUGAAUACGUUCCCGGGCCUUGUACACACCGCCCGUCACACCAUGAGAGUUUGUAACACCCAAAGCCGGUGAGAUAACCUUCGGGAGUCAGCCGUCUAAGGUGGGACAGAGGAUUAGGGUGAAGUCGUAACAAUGUAACCA